This 73-nucleotide transfer RNA is filed under the name hydrothermal vent metagenome. RNAcentral's name for it is "tRNA-Ala-GGC". It matches the Rfam family "tRNA". From Rfam's summary of the family: Transfer RNA (tRNA) molecules are approximately 80 nucleotides in length. Their secondary structure includes four short double-helical elements and three loops (D, anti-codon, and T loops). Further hydrogen bonds mediate the characteristic L-shaped molecular structure. tRNAs have two regions of fundamental functional importance: the anti-codon, which is responsible for specific mRNA codon recognition, and the 3' end, to which the tRNAs corresponding amino acid is attached (by aminoacyl-tRNA synthetases). tRNAs cope with the degeneracy of the genetic code in two manners: having more than one tRNA (with a specific anti-codon) for a particular amino acid; and 'wobble' base-pairing, i.e. permitting non-standard base-pairing at the 3rd anti-codon position. The record is from RNAcentral.
GGGCCCUUAGCUCAGCUGGGAGAGCGCUUCGCUGGCAGCGAAGAGGUCACCGGUUCGAUCCCGGUAGGGUCCA